Molecule: long non-coding RNA, 1790 nt
Organism: Drosophila obscura
Lineage: Eukaryota; Metazoa; Arthropoda; Insecta; Diptera; Drosophilidae
Exons: 6
Source: RefSeq, a predicted model, not a curated record
GUUUGUUUGUGUUAAUUGGCGUCGUGUGUAAAAUCUGUGCAGGCGGAUAUUAUGUAAAUCACUUAAAAUAGGAAAAAUAUCAGUGAAAUUGCAUAUGUCCAUACUGCGUGGAAUUCUUAAGAAGUUAUUAUCUGUGUACUUUUACUUGCAUAAUAAAUACGAGGAAGAAUACAGCGCAAUCAAUCAUUGGCCUCAAUUAUUUUCAGAACUUAAGAUAUCAGGUUACGCAGUAUAAUACAUACACAUAUGUACAUCUACAUACAUGCAUUGUCAUUGUGCAAUUAAAACCUUCGGAAACAUCAAAUGAGUCUCACUGCUAGCUGCGCAACACCGCCCCGCCGGUUGCCCUUUGAAUCUUUAAUCUUGGCUAUAAGCGAUUUUGUUCAGUGCAGCCUAGGCGGCGGACACACCGCAAAACUUUUGCGUGUGGUUUUGUGUAUUCCAUUCUAAUAAGUCGCCAGCUAUCUAACAAUUCAAAUCUAAGAAAAUUUCAAAAUUCAAUUUGCACUGACUGUGGCCGUUGUGUGUCGCAGGGGAGCGGCUGGAGGAGGAACAACAAAAGCCCACCUCAUCUAGCAACUCCCUUGGUUCUGUCCCUUCCUCAUUGGCACAGCCACAAGCCACACCACUCGAUGCGACGGCAAAGUGAACAAACAUUUCUGAAAACUUACUUGAAUAGAUUAUUAGGAAUUAUCAAAACUUAAUUUAGCUUAAGAGUGCUCAACUUAAAAGGUGUGGGGGCAGGCAGCCGGGACGUGGCAUGCGGGCAGCUAAUGAAUGCCGCCCGAGUUCAGGACCAGGAGGAGACGACCUGGCCUGGCCAUUGAUCUUGUCAUGCCUUUGUUGUGGACGCUGGUAAAUCUCCGACUAAGCGGCUUAGGGAACGGCUGUGCUUGUGCAACUUAAAAGUUUAGCACAUGAGAUUCAAGCGCUAAGGGAAAUUACAUCAACUGCUGGGUUGUCAUCACAGCGGGACCACGUUUAUUAACUGGACUAGGAGAUGGACGCGAACGCAGACACAGACAUGGACACGGAUCGAUCUAAUGAGGCUGCCAGCUGGCGGCAGUGUCUGGGAUUGGCCGGGUCUGCCAUAUCCAGCUGUGUAAUCGGCUUCAAUUAAAUCAAGCCAAACGACACCGGCAAUUUGAACGUUCGCUUUUGUGCUGCUCCCCACGGGCAUGGACAACGAGCUUGCAGCUAAAUAGAAUCCAGUCAAUGUCGGAGUCGGAGUCGAUGUUGGAGUUGGAGUCAUGGCGACCUUUUAGCAGCGCUUCCUGGCGAGAAGCGUCUUGGCCUCCUGCCUCCUGCCGCCCUCCGUCUCGGGCAUUCACUCAAUCUGGCGUUAAUAACGUGGCACAAAAUUUACAAGGGAAGUGCAGAUGGUGGGCUAGCUGGACUGGACUGUUGGCUUUUGGGGUGAUCUUUCAUACCAGGAGAUAGUGUUACAUAUGAGCAUACCAGAAGGUGGAAGAUUACAAUCUUUGGCCUUAUCUGACUGGAAAAGCACUCAUUCUACGAGCGUCCAUGGAGAGCGCUCUAAUUAUUUACAAUUGAAAUAUUACUUUCAUUUCAAAGAUCUAUAUGAAUAUUUCCCAAAUUUCAAUUUAAAUAUAUUUUUCUUUAUCUUAAGGCUUCCUAGAAGCAUUCCGGAUAUUAGAGUUCGCUUUGCCAAAAACCAUUGGCGAAAUAUAAAGUACCCCAACCAAUAGGAGAAUAAGUUAUUUUUGUAAAUCUCCUCGUUUCGUAUAGAACGGGGGUUUGGUUAUAUACUAUUGUUACUAUUUUUGUAU